GCAGGUUUCUUUAAGUAUUUUAGAGGCAAUGAAGUUCUGGUUCCAAAUGUCCCUUGCAAAUCUGCCACCUGGCAGCAGCCAAAAUUUGAGGUGACGUGCAAAAAUAGCUGAUGUGUAAGGAUGGAAAGGCGUGAGGGAAGGUUAGCCAGUCCGGGAGAGUUCGCUUUCCUGGGAGGAUCAGGGCAGGCUCCCUGGAGGAGGUGGUUUUGAAUCCGAGUGGCAAAGGAUGGGGGAAAUGUAGACCAGGCAGCCGGUCUAGGGUGAGCGGGGGCAGGCCAGGCGGCGGGCCCUGCGCGUGAAGAUGUGUGAAGGCGGGAACAAUGCGGUGGGAGUUUGGACCACGGGGCUGGGGCUGGUGGAGGCCGCCGCAAGGAGAGAUGAGGCCCAUGGGGGCACCGCCAGGCCGGAGGGCAGGGAGCGUGGAGAAUGCGGCUGACCUCUGUUCCAGGGGCUCGUGCUAAAGAAGGGCUGCCUCGUCCUCUGUCCACCACCAGGCGCCCUUUCCCCUCAGGCCUGUGCAGUCAUCUUUGGUGAAAUAUGAGAAUGAGUUGCCUGCAUGGAGGCCCACAGGACGCCCAGCCCUGCACGGAUGGCUUCGGGGGCGUCAGCUCAUUCAUUCCUCCCGUUAGUUGCAUGAGGGAGGUGUUAUCAUGAUGCCCAUUGUACAGAGGGCACAGAGGAGGCCCAGAGAGGUUAAGCAACACGGCUAACGUCACAUAGCCAGGAAGUGGCAGAGUGGUAUUGGAAUCCAGACCUCCUGGAACCCAAAGUCCUUGCACUAAGCACUGCUCUGUAAUGCUCCUCAUGUGCUCCCACCAGGCCUGUGACCUGAGCACCAUAGUCCUCCCCAUUUGUCGGAGGGAGAAACUGAGGCUCUGAGAGGUGGAAUCACUUGCAUGAGAUCACACAGCCGGAGGGGAGAAGCCGAGGUUGGAAUCCCCGGGUCCAGGUGACUCCAGUGCGCUUUCUGCAACCACCAACGACACAGCUGCUUGCUCUGCCACCUCCAUGUCCUUAUCUGAGAAGCGGGGUGAGGACAGCGGCCACCCGGUGGGGCCGUGCAGGGGUCCGAGGGGGGCGCUUGGCCGUCGCUUUAGGGACGCUGGGUGUGGCCACUUGUGUGAAGGCGCUGUUAGUAAGUGAGUGGGUUAGUGGGAGGCCUCAAGCAGUGCCCUGCACACAGUAGGUGCUCAGAAGUGCUGGCUGGCGGCAUUACUACUGUGGGACCUGCCGCAGGGGCGGCCCGAGGUGCUUCCCAACCUGCCUCCUUCGCAGACGCUCCACUCGUGUCCCAUCACCCAGCGACGGGCCUCGGAGUCCAGGUCAGGAGGACGCAGGGCAUCCGCCCAUCAGUCCGAGAGACGCUGCGAGCACUGGGUGACCAGUCCGAUGUCAGGGUUUGAACCCUGGACCCCCUGUGUGACCUCUGGCAAGCGUCUUGCCUUCUCUGAGCCUCAGUUUCCCCUUUUGUCUAUAGAGCCUGGGCCAGCUGCCCCGGAGGUGUCAGCCCCGCGCAAGGCCAGGGGCGGUUCCUGUGCCCCCGCUGGCCGCCGUCCCCGCCUCCUGCCUCCCGAGCUGCAGGCCCGCCCGGCUCAGCUGUGACGACCAACCAGCCAAUGUGUUUACUGAACUGCCUGACCCCUUCCGGGAACUGGGCCCAAGCUUCCCAGAACUCGGGUAUUAAUGACCCGGAGCCACAUGACAGAGCAUGACACAGCACUUUUGGGCACAAGGCAGGGCCCAGAGGGGCGCGUGGGGGGCCGCGGCCCAGCCCCCAGCCCGCUGGCGGGUGAGUCACCCUGGCCUCCUGCAGCCUCCUGAGCGUCCGCUCCGGCGCCCUCCCCCAGCCCCAGAAUGUCCUCCCCCGGCCGGCCGCCUGCGACCUCCGGACCUUUGCCCCAGUGACCUAGAAGAGGUCCUGCUGAGCCGGGCUGCCCUCUGGGGCCGCAGACCUACUUGUUAAGCACUUACUGCCCGUGAGGCGCUGUCUCACAGUGAUGGGGAAACUGAGGCUCAGAGGGGGGAACAGGGCCUGCAGCUGCGCGGGGCAGCCUUGAAUCCCAGCAGCUCUAGGCGCCCUUGGAUGAUCUUCCAUCCCCUCGACAACCCCACAAGGGAGGGGCCGUGUGGGCUGUUUCAUAGCUGGGGAACCGAGCACGGGGUGGGUGCUGAGUACCCCGCCCAAGCUCUGAGUCGGGUCUGUCUUGGGACCGCUCGGCACCAGCGCGGGCAGCAGGCAGGCAAGCUCGGCUCCGGCCACGCAGCUUUAUUGAGGUACAACAGACACGGCACGUGUUCUAGUGUGCACUUUGGUUCCGGAGCUGCCGGCGGUAAUUAACCUUCCCGGCUCCCUCUGAAGUCGGCACUGCGGGCAGACGUGUUAUUAAACCCAUUUUCAAGGAAGCAGAGGGCCGGCCCCCAGAUGCCCCGCACCCUGAGGGCAGAGCUGCAGGCGGGGGAGCUGGCAGGUCCUGGACACCCCUCGUUCCUGCCCCCUCACCUCUCAGAAGCACAGGAGCACGGGCUUGGGAGCCAGAUGGAAGAGACUGGGAUCUGCUUCUGCUGUGUGACCCUGGGCAAGUCCCUGCCCUUCUCUGUGCCUCAGUUUCCUCCUUGGUAAAACAAGGAUGAUCAGAUCCACUUCUUGGGUUUGUCUGGAGCGAAAAGCACCCAGCUUACCUCUGACAUAUGUCCUCUCCCUCCCCGUGCUCUGGCCAUGCCAGCUUCCUUGCUGUUCCUUGAACACACGACCCACUUCCCACCUCAGGGCCUUUGCAUGUGAAGUGCCCUCGGCCUGGCGUGUCCUUCCUUCACAUCUCCCCAAGGCUGGCUCCUUCUCAUCUUUCUUGGCUCACGUAUCACCUCCUCAACCUACAGUGCCCCCCUCCCCCUGUUUUAUUUUCAUGAAGCGCUUGUGAACAUAACUCAUUAUUUACCUGGCCUGUUUCCUUGUCGGCUCCAGGCAGGGGUUUGGGGCUGUUCCAUUCACAGUGUAUUCCCAGGGCUCCGCUCAGUGUCAGGCACACAGUAGGUGCUCGAGAACAAUUGCUUUCCCCACCUCUCUCCUCGUUAGCUCCAAGUUGAGCAUGAGCUGGCUGUGUGACCCUGGGAACUGCUUUCCCGGGGGGUGGCCUGGGCACCAUCCUCCUGAAGGACUCAGGGAGCCUUGAAAUGCCCGGACCUCAGGCUCGUGCCUCCCCAGGCGACAGGGUGGGGAGCAAGCAGGUAGAGGAGGGGUGACCAGAGCCCCCUGGUGCGACCCGCUGUCCUGCGGCUCCGCCUCCUCCCCUGGGGCCCGGGCUUUAAGGACUCACUGUGGGCAGGUCCUCACCGCCAGCCGCCCCCUCCCUUGGCACGUCUGUCAGCGCCCUUGGGGGAAAGAAUUUGGAAAGGGGAGGAAGAGAAAGGAAGAAAGCCGCCACGAGGGGAUGGUUCUCACACCUGUGUAAAUAAUUUGUCAUCUUAAAACUCGUCAAAUAUGCUCACCUUUAAUGCCUGCUUCUUGGGCUUGUUUUCCUUGGCAAGGCCCCCACGGGAGUGGAAUUUCGGCCCAAGGGAGCCCAAUUGUCAUCUUCUAAGCAUGUUCCCGGGCCGCAGGCUGAGGAGGGCUCUGGCUGAUGCUCCACUUCCGUCCCCAGAAGUUCCAGAACGUUCCUGGGAUUUAUGGAGCAGUUGCCAGUUCUGGAAGCUGUCCCAGAGUUCUGGAAUGUUGGAAUUCAAGCAGCCUCCUGCCCAUUUUCCAGAAGGGGAACAUGAAGCCCAGAGGGGGGAAGGGGUUGGCCUGAGGUCACACAGCAUGCUGGGAUGAGUUAGACUUUCCCAGGAAAAGAUGGCAAGUUACGGACAGGUCAGUGCCCUGUUACACCUGAAUUUUCUACCGGAGAACUUCCUCCUCCCCCAUGUCAGUCCCUGAGGUUGGGUGGGGUGUCCCGGGACCCUGUCUCCAGGGGUGGGCACAUGCCCAAGUCUGGCCCAGCGACUCGCCUGGGGAUGGACACAUGCUAAACCCGCCCAAGGAAAGUGGAUCCUGGGAACUCUGCGAAGGACAUGCAGCGUUUCCGUUGGACUGAGAGAGCCAGUGAAAGCCCGGAGCGUUGGGGGUGUCACAGGGAAAAGCCUGCCUGACAGAGAUCAGCACAGGGCUGAACAGGGCUUGAACCCCUGGAUCUAGCCAUACCUGAAGUCACACACCCUUGGACUUUUCAGUUUCGUGAGCUGCUGCAUUUCCCAUUUUUGCCUGAAAACAGUUUGGGCUGGUUUUCUGUCACUUGCAUACAAAAGGUUCUGACUGACCGUGGGCCUGGAGGAGGGGAAGGGACGAGGGUCUGGGCAGAGGAGGUAACAUGCAUAGUGACCCCAAAGCAGCAACGGCAAGGGACUUGCAAGUGACGGGGAGAAGAAGGAGGAGGCCCCCCAGGGGAGUUUAGGAUGGGUCGGGUGGUCCAGGUGGGAGAAGGGAGUAACUCCAGCAGAAGGAGCGACCAAUGCGAAAGCUUGGAGGGGUGACUAGGUAGUGCCGAGGGACGCAGAGACGCAAACGGCAAAAGUGAGUGCCCUCCUCUGAACUGCACCAGCUAAAUGUGGGCUCCUCUGCUUUGGGAGCUGCGCCCUCCCAGUGCCGCGCCCGUGUCCCUGCCGUGCCCGCCAGCACGCUGUCUCAGACACGUGAGUGCUCUCCCAGUGGGCGAUGGGCGCCCCCGGGGCUGCGUGUCACGGUUUCGCAGGGCGCAGGGACAGAGCACCAGCUGUCGUCCGGGCGCGUGGUGGGUUCUUCCCCUUGCGAAUCUGCCACAGUCCUUCCUUUACGCCAAGGACAGUCUCCGCGUGGCGCUGACCUGUGUCUAACACCAAAUACCUGCUGAUCUUUCUGGAAAGGAGCAGGUCUCGGGCCCCCUGCCUUCGGCACACGGUCGUGUCUAGCAAGACUCUUGGGAGCUUUGUGUGGGGCUGUGCCACACUCCACAGACGCGCUCUGCUUGAUGCACCUUGAACGCUAGCCUGACUUCUGUCACCAUGGGUCAGUGGCACCUGUUUUUGGACUUUAGAUCUGAUGUGUUUCCGGAAUGUCAUGGAAGUGGAGUCCUGCAGGGCAUUGCCUUUCUUCACUCAGCAUCGCGGUUUUGAGAUGUGUUCAUUUCGCUGUGUGUUCUCAGCACGUUUUUCAGUAACAUUCCUUGUUAUCACUGAGCAGCGUUCCAGCGUAUGGACGUACCGCAGCCUGCGUACCCGUUCACCACGUGAGGGAUAUUUGGACUGUUUCCAGUGUUUAGUGAUAUAAUUAAAGCCACUAUGAACAUUUGCAAACAGGUUGUCACGUGAACAUAAUUUUUCUUUAUCUUGGGGAAAGGCUUAGGGGUCAAACUGCUAUGUCAUGCGGUCAAGUACAUGUUUGACUUACUCAGAAACCGCUAACCUGUGUCUGUACCAUUUUGCAUUGCCACCAGCAAUGGGCGAAAGUUUCAGUUGCUUCUCAUCCUCGCCAGCACUUGGUAUUGUCAAUUUUAAAAAAAUUUUAGCCAUCUCAUAGGUGUAUACCGGGAUGACGUCGUGAUGUUAAUUUGCGUUUCCCUGCUGACUAAUGAUGUUGAGCGUCUUUUUACGGGCUUAUUUGCCAUCCGUAUAUGUUCUUUGGUGUAGUAGUGUCUGAUCAAACUUUUUGUCCAUUUAAAAAAUCAGAUUGUUUUCUUAUUCGUGGCCUGGAGGGUUCUUUCUGUAUUCUGGAUCCGAGUCCGUCCUUCGUCAGAUGUGUGAUCUGCGAAUAUUUCCUCCCAGUCUGCCGCUUGUCCUUUUGCCCCCUUAACGGGGAGACCCUGAUAACAUCGUUGGUUUUCAUCAUGAGGAUUUUUCUGGUUAUCUUUGAUUUGCGGCAAGUGUUCUUUGCUUUUUUCAGUUCUAGCGAUAAUAUCAAAUGUUUCCCUUCUAAACAAAUUUAUUUAAAUAGAAAGUUAAGUCAACUUGAAGAAAAACAUUAAGUAACAGUAGGUCUGGAAUGCAAACCGCACAAAAAUCGGGAAGGCCGUUGCUUGAAUAACCAAAGUGCGGACAGUUCCCAUUCGUUCUCUCAACGGUUAUCAACCGAGCGCCUGCCCUGUGCUGGGCCCCGUCCUGGGUGCUGGGGCACAGUGACAAACAAGAGGAAGGGUUUCUGCCCUUUGGGUCAUGGUUUCCCUACCGCAAGCUCCUCGUCAUCCUUCAGAAGCCAACUUGAAAGGCCCUUCCCUGGAAAACUCACGGCACUGUGUUGCAAUUUCCUCUCCCUGCGAGCGUCUUCCCGGGAGGGGAUGUGUCCGGCAGCCUCUGACCCGGUCACGGAGAGCCUGGUGCACAGGUUCUCAGCAAAUAGCGCCUCACGACAUAGACGUGGUCGUGGGACCCGAAGCCCCUCCCCACUGCAGUCUGGCCCCAUGCAGAGCAAGGUCAUUCUCCUGGGCCUCCCCUUCCACUGACAAAGACACCAAGAGAAGACGCCUCCCGGAUCCACCACCUUCAGCUCCCCUCCGAGCUCUCCAUCCAGUGCCCUCCGAGCUCUCCAUCCAGUGCCCGAGGACGCCUUCCCGAGUGACUCAUCGAUCCCACGAACGCAUCCCAGGCAUCCCUUCACUCUGGCCCGGCCCGGGGGACCGUGUCACCCCAGCCUCCCACCACCCCUCCUCCAGCACACCAGCCUGCUCCUGUUCCUCCAACACUCUGAGCUCACUCCCACCCCCGGCCUUUGCAUAUGCUGUCCCUGCUAUCUGGAACCCUCUGUCUCUAGCUUUUUGCAUGGCUGGAUUCUUCUCCACAUUCCAUUCUGAGCUUAAACGACCCCUCCACAGAGGCCCCCCCCAGGCCAAUACUGUCAAACACUCCUUCUACUUUUUAUCCCAUCAUUCCGUUUAUCUUCUUUGUAGCCCCAAAGACUCUCAUUCCAGUUUAUUUCUGUGUUCACUUGUUUCUUGUCUGUGUCCCCCAUUUGAGUGUCAGCACCAUGAGGGAUUCUGGUCUGUCCUCUUGGUCUCCCCAGUGCCUCGCCCAGCACACAGUAGGUCCUCAAUAAACAUUUGUUGAAUGAAUGAAUGAAUGAGGGAGGCCAUGAGCUCUCCCUUCUCAAGACGCACUCAAAGCAGAGUUAGGCCGUCAGCCCAUGUGUCAGGCUCAUUGCCUGAACGGUGGGACCACAGGUCCUCUUCCUGGCCCCCUCUGGCCCCUGUGCCCAGCCCAGUGCUGAGCACUGCCUGCCAAGCCCACCAGCCUUGUGUCCUGCCAGCUGCCCAACCUGGGCCGAGAGGUCCUCCAUCCUCGGAGCCAGCCUGCGACAAAUUGUUCAUGAAUGGUGGGCCGUGGUUGGGGCUGGCGGCGGCUGUGUGGGGUAUGGGGACCCCGACUGAGACCCCAUCAACUCACAGUGUGCAAGAGUCAUUUCAGCUCCCUUCCCAUCCUCCUGAUGGUGCCACAGGGAAGGAAAGGCUGACCGGGGCUUGUGUGUCUUCACCACUUUCCUCCCCCUGUUCUUUCUUUUUAGGAAACAGCAGCCCCAGCGCCAAGCCCCCAGCGGUAGCGGUUUCUGGUUUUGUUUUGCCCCUUUGUGUAAUUGGCUGAAUGUCUCCAAUUUCCAGUGAGCGCCUUGGGUUGGGUUUCCCUGGAAGCAGAACCCUAAGAGAACAAUUUGAAAGCAAGCGGUUCAUUUGGGAGGCGACCCCAGAAAACACUGGUAGGGGAGUGGGGAAGUGAGCGCAGCCAGCGCAGAGCGUUAUGGAGAAGUAAGCGCUCCGGGCUGUGGGACUCAGUCCGCUGUGGGACUCUGGGAGAUAGUGUAGACCGUGCCUUCUGAGUCACCCCCCGGGUGGGGCGGGGGUGGCCGGGGAGCAGCGGGAGGUGUCCAUGCUCUCCUGCCGGCUUUGAUUGAGGGCGGCUCCCUGGAGUGAUGCUUCCCAGCACUUCCAGCUGCCACCCAGGGCCGGGGCCUGGGGGCUGAGAGAAGCCGCCUGGUCCUGGACUUCUGUUUCUAGGGGGGUUUCUGAUUAGUUUCAAUCUGUACUUGUGAUUGGUCUAUUCAGAGUCUCUGUUUCUUCUUGAUUCAGAUUUGGGAGGUUGUACGCGUCUAAGAAUUUAUCCAUUUCUCUAGAUUAUCCAAUUUGUUGACAUACGGGUUUGCGUAGUCUUCUCUUAGGAUCCUUUGCAUUUCUGUGGUGUCUGUUGUGAUGUCUCCUCUCUCAUUUCUGAUUUCGUUUGUUUGAGCCGUCCCCUCCCUCUUUUUUUCUUAGAGAGUCUAGCUAAGGGCUUGUCAAUUUUGUUUAUCUUUUCAAAGAACCAGCUCUUAGUUUCACUGAUCCUUUCUAUUGUUUUUUGUCUCUAUUUUAUUUCAGUUCUUAUUUUAAUUAUUUCCUUCCUUCUACUGACUUUGGGCUCUGUUUGUUCUUCUUUUUCUAGCUCUUUUAGGUAAAGUGUUAGAUUGUUUAUUUGAGAUUUUUCUUGUUUUUGAGGUAGGCCCGUAUUACUAUAAACAUCCCUCUUAGUACUGCUUUUGCUGCAUCCCAUAAGUUUUGAUAUGUUGUGUUUUCAUUUUCAUUUGUCUCCAGGUAUUUUUUUUAUUUCUCCUUUGAUUUAUUUAUUGAUCCAAUAGUUGUUCAGUAGCAUGUUAUUUAGUCUCCACUUUCUCAAAAAAUUAAAAAUAGAAAUACCAUAUGAUCCACUAUUCCACUUUUGAGUAUUUAUCCAAAGAACAUGAAAUCAGUAAUUGAAAAGCUCUAUCCACCCUGUGUUCAUUGCAG
This 8750-nucleotide long non-coding RNA is filed under the name Equus caballus (horse). RNAcentral's name for it is "lncRNA (ENSECAG00000056672.1)". The record is from RNAcentral. Lineage: Eukaryota; Metazoa; Chordata; Mammalia; Perissodactyla; Equidae.